GCGUCCGAGUUGUAAUUUGGAGGGAUAUCUUCGGGGAUGGCGCCGUCCUAAGUUCCUUGGAACAGGACGUCACAGAGGGUGAGAAUCCCGUGCCUGGAUGGCUGCCCAUCUCCAUGUGAAGUGUCUCCGACGAGUCGAGUUGUUUGGGAAUGCAGCUCAAAAUGGGUGGUAAAUUUCAUCUAAAGCUAAAUAUUGGCGAGAGACCGAUAGCGCACAAGUAGAGUGAUCGAAAGAUGAAAAGCACUUUGAAAAGAGAGUUAAAAAGUACGUGAAAUUGUUGAAAGGGAAGCGCUUGCGACCAGACUCGAUCUUUGGUGAUCAUCCGCGCCACUUGGGCGUAGUGCCCUCGCCACUGAUCGGGCCAGCAUCGGUUCCGAGGGCGACUUAAAAGGUCGGGGAACGUGGCUUCCUUCGGGGAGUGUUAUAGACCCGGCCAUAAUGUCGCCACUUGGGACCGAGGACCGCGCUUCGGCUAGGAUGCUGGCGUAAUGGUCUUAAGCGACCCGUCUUGAAACACGGACCAAGGAGUCUAACAUCUAUGCGAGUGUUCGGGUGGAAAACCCUUGCGCGUAAUGAAAGUGAACGGAGGUGUGAACCCGCAAGGGUGCAACAUCGACCGGUCCUGAUGUCUUCGGAAGGAUCUGAGUAAGAGCAUAGCUGUUGGGACCCGAAAGAUGGUGAACUAUGCCUGAAUAGGGUGAAGCCAGAGGAAACUCUGGUGGAGGCUCGCAGCGGUUCUGACGUGCAAAUCGAUCGUCAAAUUUGGGUAUAGGGGCGAAAGACUAAUCGAACCAUCUAGUAGCUGGUUCCUGCCGAA
This 817-nucleotide ribosomal RNA is filed under the name Scutellinia sp. B TL-11648. RNAcentral's name for it is "eukaryotic LSU rRNA". It matches the Rfam family "Eukaryotic large subunit ribosomal RNA", at positions 134 to 965 of the family's 3401-position model. Lineage: Eukaryota; Fungi; Ascomycota; Pezizomycetes; Pezizales; Pyronemataceae. The record is from RNAcentral.